This 322-nucleotide ribosomal RNA is filed under the name uncultured eukaryote. Its description in RNAcentral is "partial 18S ribosomal RNA". It matches the Rfam family "Eukaryotic small subunit ribosomal RNA", at positions 1470 to 1796 of the family's 1831-position model. The record is from RNAcentral.
CCCUUAGAUGUUCUGGGCCGCACGCGUGCUACACUGAGUGGAUCAGCGGGUCAGGUUGCGCGAAAGUGUUUCCUAAUCUUGAAAUCCGCUCGUGAUGGGGAUUGACGGUUGCAAUUUUCCGUCAUGAACGAGGAAUACCUUGUAAGCGCGGGUCAUCAUCCCGCGCUGAAUACGUCCCUGCCCUUUGUACACACCGCCCGUCGCUCCUACCGAUUGAGUGGUCCGGUGAGGCUUUGGGAUCUGAGCAAAGAGAGCGUUUCGCUCGGUUUGCUCGGAAAACUCAGUCGAACCUUAUCAUUUAGAGGAAGGAGAAGUCGUAACA